RNAcentral lists this long non-coding RNA (584 nucleotides) under Vulpes vulpes (red fox). RNAcentral's name for it is "lncRNA (ENSVVUG00000010688.1)". Lineage: Eukaryota; Metazoa; Chordata; Mammalia; Carnivora; Canidae. The record is from RNAcentral.
AUUCUUAUCUAAGUUUGACACCUAUGUCAAGGAGAAUCUGAUUUAAAGCUUCCGAGGUAUUGUGAGGUAUCGCAGGGAACUCAAUGGAGAUCAGAGAUCCACCAAAUCCAGGGACAAGAGCAGGGGCAGCUAUUCUCUGUCUGGGUCCUGCUCUCUUACAGUCAUUCUUGCUGUGUCUUACUUUCUCUGGUAAAAUUUGGAUAAUUGACAGGGUAAUUGUCCUAAAGAACAGAGAUGAAAGGUUAAGAAUAAUUCCUAAGUCAUCCUGGCAACGACAGUCAAGUAGAUCAAGGCUCUCCAAGGCUUGGCUCACAAAUUCACUCUGAAGUUUGUUAUUGAAGAAGAGGUACAGAGAGCCCCAUUUUAUGUGAAGAGGAGAGAACUGAAUGUGAUUUAAUUUGAGAGGACAAUAGUACAGUUGAGCCUUCAACAACAUGGGUUUGACCUGUGCAGAUCCACUUAUAUGUCUAUUUUUACUACACAUUUCUUACUACAGAACCAUAAAUAUAUUUUCUCUUAUGAUUUUCUUAAUAAGUUUUUCUCUAGCUUAUUAUGGUAUGAAUACAGUAUAUAAGGUAUAGAAU